This 137-nucleotide unclassified non-coding RNA is filed under the name uncultured fungus. RNAcentral describes it as "sequence contains ITS1". Lineage: Eukaryota; Fungi. The record is from RNAcentral.
CCGAGUUUUCUACUCAAAACCCUGCGAACAUACCUCUCUGUGCUUCGGCGGGUCGGCCCCGGGGGGCGCUACAACGGCCGCCGCAAGUAUUUCAAAACCUCUUUUCAGUGUCUUCUGAAUAGCAACAAAAACAAUCA